AACGAACGCUGGCGGCAUGCCUAACACAUGCAAGUCGAACGAGACCUUCGGGUCUAGUGGCGCACGGGUGCGUAACGCGUGGGAACCUGCCCUUAGGUUCGGAAUAACUCCCCGAAAGGGGUGCUAAUACCGGAUAAUGUCUUCGGACCAAAGAUUUAUCGCCUUUGGAUGGGCCCGCGUUGGAUUAGCUAGUUGGUAGGGUAAAGGCCUACCAAGGCGACGAUCCAUAGCUGGUCUGAGAGGAUGAUCAGCCACACUGGGACUGAGACACGGCCCAGACUCCUACGGGAAGCAGCAGUGGGGAAUAUUGGACAAUGGGUGAAAGCCUGAUCCAGCAAUGCCGCGUGAGUGAUGAAGGCCUUAGGGUUGUAAAGCUCUUUUACCCGGGAUGAUAAUGACAGUACCGGGAGAAUAAGCUCCGGCUAACUCCGUG
RNAcentral lists this ribosomal RNA (433 nucleotides) under uncultured bacterium. Its description in RNAcentral is "partial 16S ribosomal RNA". It matches the Rfam family "Bacterial small subunit ribosomal RNA", at positions 29 to 507 of the family's 1533-position model. The record is from RNAcentral.